AAUCUUGCGCAAUGGGAGCAAUCCUGACGCAGCGACGCCGCGUGGGGGAGGAAGGGCUUCGGCUCGUAAACCCCUGUUGCCCGGGGCGAACCUCUGGUUUCGACCAGACUGACGGUACCGGGUGAGGAAGAACCGGCUAACUCCGUGCCAGCAGCCGCGGUAAUACAGAGGGUGCGAGCGUUGUCCGGAAUCACUGGGCGUAAAGGGCGCGUAGGCGGCUUGGUAAGUAGGGGGUGAAAUCUCACGGCUCAACCGUGAGGCUGCCUUCUAGACUGCCGAGCUUGAGCACAGUAGAGGCUGGUGGAAUUCCCGGUGUAGCGGUGGAAUGCGUAGAGAUCGGGAAGAACAUCUGUGGCGAAGGCGGCCAGCUGGGCUGUUGCUGACGCUGAUGCGCGACAGCGUGGGGAGCAAAC
RNAcentral lists this ribosomal RNA (413 nucleotides) under uncultured bacterium. Its description in RNAcentral is "bacterial SSU rRNA". It matches the Rfam family "Bacterial small subunit ribosomal RNA", at positions 360 to 773 of the family's 1533-position model. The record is from RNAcentral.